UUCCAGGCAACUGAUUUGCGUGUUUAUUUGUGUGUGUAGCGGGCCGUAAAGUAUGCAAUUCUGCUUGCUGCACAAAGCGGACUGCAAAUGGUCGACGCCGCUAGAAAUUAGGCGAAAGCACGCAAAAGCUCAGGAGCUUUUUCCUGCAGCCAGGCAGCCAGCAGCCGGCCAGGUAGCUUGUCAGCGCAACAAUAGCAGCAGUGCAGGAGCCAUAUGCAUUGUCGGGUCACUGGUGCAGCAGUCGGGACUGGCUCAGACCGGGAAAGCCGGCCGGGUUGCAAGUAGCAGCGUUGCGGUGAGGGUGGUGGCAGAGUAGUGUGGCGCCACAGUAAAUAUUGCUUAAUAUCUAAAUCCUCCACAUCAUUAACAAAAUCCACGCGUCGUCAGCGCCUUCGUGGAUGAGCGAGCGGGCGAGUGGUUAGGCGCCGGAUGCGGAGCAAUGCAGCGGCAUCCCAAUCGCAUUAUAUAACGAAAACGUAAUUUUAUUUCGAGGGAAAAAAGUCCUGCAAAGUGCAGCAUGCACCUAUAUUAUCGAUUUUACAUCGAGGUGUACGCAGUAUUGAAAGAGCGAGAGAAAAGAACACAGAGUGAUAAGAGAAGAGCGCAAAUAAAACGAUAUGAAAAGCAACUGCAUUGCCGGUGCGUGCAUUGCUGAGCUCAAAAACAGAGCGAAGAGCUUAUUGGAUACAUUUAGUACAUAGUAAUGUAUUUAGGGCUGCCAAGGGUCGGAAAAGAUAUAUACAUACCAAGUAUUAAAACUAUAUAGUAC
Molecule: long non-coding RNA, 769 nt
Organism: Bactrocera tryoni
Lineage: Eukaryota; Metazoa; Arthropoda; Insecta; Diptera; Tephritidae
Exons: 3
Source: RefSeq, a predicted model, not a curated record